AUUGAACGCUGGCGGCAGGCCUAACACAUGCAAGUCGAGCGGAUGAAGGGUGCUUGCUCCUGGAUUCAGCGGCGGACGGGUGAGUAAUGCCUAGGAAUCUGCCUGGUAGUGGGGGAUAACGUCCGGAAACGGGCGCUAAUACCGCAUACGUCCUGAGGGUACAAGAGGGGGAUCUUCGGACCUCACGCUAUCUGUUGAGCCUAGGUCGGAUUAGCUAGUUGGUGGGGUAAAGGCCUACCAAGGCGACGAUCCGUAACUGGUCUGAGAGGAUGAUCAGUCACACUGGAACUGAGACACGGUCCAGACUCCUACGGGAGGCAGCAGUGGGGAAUAUUGGACAAUGGGCGAAAGCCUGAUCCAGCCAUGCCGCGUGUGUGAAGAAGGUCUUCGGAUUGUAAAGCACUUUAAGUUGGGAGGAAGGGCAGUAAGUUAAUACCUUGCUGUUUUGACGUUACCAACAGAAUAAGCACCGGCUAACUUCGUG
This 484-nucleotide ribosomal RNA is filed under the name uncultured bacterium. RNAcentral describes it as "partial 16S ribosomal RNA". It matches the Rfam family "Bacterial small subunit ribosomal RNA", at positions 30 to 507 of the family's 1533-position model. The record is from RNAcentral.